AGUGAACGCUGGCGGUAGGCCUAACACAUGCAAGUCGAACGGCAGCACAGUAAGAGCUUGCUCUUACGGGUGGCGAGUGGCGGACGGGUGAGGAAUACAUCGGAAUCUACUUUUUCGUGGGGGAUAACGUAGGGAAACUUACGCUAAUACCGCAUACGACCUACGGGUGAAAGCAGGGGAUCUUCGGACCUUGCGCGAUUGAAUGAGCCGAUGUCGGAUUAGCUGGUUGGCGGGGUAAAGGCCCACCAAGGCGACGAUCCGUAGCUGGUCUGAGAGGAUGAUCAGCCACACUGGAACUGAGACACGGUCCAGACUCCUACGGGAGGCAGCAGUGGGGAAUAUUGGACAAUGGGCGCAAGCCUGAUCCAGCCAUACCGCGUGGGUGAAGAAGGCCUUCGGGUUGUAAAGCCCUUUUGUUGGGAAGGAAAAGCAGCAGGUUAAUACCCCGCUGUUCUGACGGUACCCAAAGAAUAAGCACCGGCUAACUUCGUG
This 492-nucleotide ribosomal RNA is filed under the name uncultured bacterium. RNAcentral describes it as "partial 16S ribosomal RNA". It matches the Rfam family "Bacterial small subunit ribosomal RNA", at positions 29 to 507 of the family's 1533-position model. The record is from RNAcentral.